AACAUCCUCGUUUAAUUAAGAGAAAGAAUUGCGAUCUUAGGAUUAAGACAAGAAUUGCAAUUUACCUGACAGACAAUCUACAGAAACCGCUCAAUGUGUAGAAUUCAAUUGCAGAUCAAAUAUAGUAUAUAUUUCAUAGUGCGAGUGACGAGUUCGAGGGACUACACGCGGGAUCACGCGCAUUUGUCCGGGAACAUUGUGACCGAGUGAGGUUGGGGUCAAGAGAGAAACAAAGAUGGCGCAAAACUGUACACAUGUUGAUGGUCAGAGGCAAACAAACUUUUGGUAUCGUGAACCAGUAAUAGGGCCUUUGCCUGGGGCCAUUACAUGAAAGAAAGUUAACUUAAUCGUCAAGAAAUAGCCGAACUCUUAAAGGGUGCAGUUUUACAGUGAAAAGACAAGCAGAUAAAACUCCCGGGAUGAAAAAGAGUAAUCUAAACAGAGCGGGAGAAUAAAUGCGUUAAGCUAAGUGCAGAAUUAACUUGAGACGGAAGGCAGAGAAGAUGCAAACCUCGCCAGAUUAAAACAAGAUAACAUUACAUGAAUUCAACCUUUGCUUUUGUGCACUUCUGUACAGGCAGUGUUAUUGGCAGAGGCAGAGAGCAUUGGAAUGUGGAUUUUGGGCCCAGGACCAGAGAUGUUGGACCAUGGACUGUGAACCGUGGACCAUGGACUGUGAACUGAGGAGCAUGGAACCAUGGACUAAGGAGCAUGGAACCAGGACUAUGGAACAAGGAUGGGGGACCAGCGAGAGAGGACUUAAAACCAAGGACAGAGGGUGGGCAGGAAGCCCUGAAUGAUCACAAAUUGGACUUGACCUGAACUACAACUAUUAUUUGCAUGUUAAGGUAAUAUAUUUUACCUUAUUCUGACUUACUUGGGGAGCACGGAUGGCACAGUGU
This is a long non-coding RNA of Orbicella faveolata, 902 nucleotides long. RefSeq lists it as uncharacterized. Lineage: Eukaryota; Metazoa; Cnidaria; Anthozoa; Scleractinia; Merulinidae. The record is from RefSeq and is a predicted model, not a curated record.